AAUAGCGUUUGGCUUGGCUGGUUGUACAAGUCCAGGCGUGGACGAGUGUGCUUAGAGAUACUGGUGUCUUCUUUUUCUCUGUUGCUAUCUUGUUUUUGUUUGUGGUUUUUGUCAUGAGACACAGACACUGUACGUCAGAGGUAAAGUGAGAUCCCUCCCUGUCUGUAUGUCUGUGUGUCUGUGUGUCUUGUUCACUUGUGUGUCCUCCAUUGGACCACCUUCUGAUUCUGUUUUGUUUUUGGUUUGUCUGGUUUCAGGUCUGGUCUUGGUCCCAAGGAGUUGACUGAUUAUCUUGGUUUGGUUUUAGGCCGGUCUCAGGUUCUGGGGCCUUCCCAUGGAGACAGGUCCAUUUGGAUUGGUCAUAGUGACAGUAAGCUUCUCUGGAAAUCGCAUGUAAGAUGCCCUGUAUUGGUCUUGCUUGUGUUUGUCAUUUCUGUGGUACUGUGAUUCUAUAGUGGUUGCCUGAAAAA
RNAcentral lists this long non-coding RNA (470 nucleotides) under Mus musculus (house mouse). Its description in RNAcentral is "predicted gene, 20186". The record is from RNAcentral. Lineage: Eukaryota; Metazoa; Chordata; Mammalia; Rodentia; Muridae.